GCCCAUCAAUGGGAGAAGGUCUGUUAUGGGAAGACUGUAUUGAAUUAAAAGGUUAAUAUCAGGCUGAGCUCAGUGGCUCAUACCUGUAAUCCCAGCACUUUGGGAGGUUGAUGCUAUUACUAUCUCUACUUUACUCAGGCACAGAGCAGCUAAGCCAUUUGUCCAGGUUCACAGAGCUAGCAGGUGGCCAUGCUUACACCCACAGCACCUGAUACUGUCUGAACCAUUCCCUAAAGUAUUUCUACAGAAGAGUACUAAUAAGAUUUUUAAAUCCUGCAGGAUUUUUCUUAUUAUUCUUUUCAAAUAUUGUGUAAUCUAAUACCAUGCCAUCCUUGAUAUCUAACUCAUUUUAGAGAUAAAAAUGCUUACCCUAAAUACCAUCAUAUAAUCUAUAUUUCUAUAACCCCAACAGCAAUAUUGCAGGUUAGAAUCCAAGUGUGCAGAAUAUUUGUGAAGAUCAGUGUAGAUAAUACUGAAAUGACAGUGAUGAGGAAGAAGGUA
This is a long non-coding RNA of Homo sapiens (human), 501 nucleotides long. The record is from Ensembl. NCBI's taxonomy places the organism in Eukaryota, Metazoa, Chordata, Mammalia, Primates, Hominidae.